GGGGUGGCCGUGGGCAGUGCGGGGGCGGGGCUGGGUGAGGUCACUUUCCUCAGCCGGGCGGCCUCCGGACACAGCUCGGGGCUCUCCUAUUGGGCGUCGGGCACGGGCGUGGCCGGGUGGGCGGGGCUUUGUGGCUGUGGGGGUUGGGGCUCUGCUGCCCCUCCCCACGCCCUGCUGCCCGCCCUGGCCCUGCCCCCCACCAUGCUCUGCAGCUACUUCUUCCUGCUCCGCC
This is a long non-coding RNA of Myiozetetes cayanensis, 232 nucleotides long. RefSeq lists it as uncharacterized. NCBI's taxonomy places the organism in Eukaryota, Metazoa, Chordata, Aves, Passeriformes, Tyrannidae. The transcript is spliced from 4 exons. The record is from RefSeq and is a predicted model, not a curated record.